Molecule: small nuclear RNA, 147 nt
Filed under: Pongo abelii (Sumatran orangutan)
Lineage: Eukaryota; Metazoa; Chordata; Mammalia; Primates; Hominidae
Source: RNAcentral
CCCCUUAUGUGGCGGGGAACACACAGUGGUCAGGAAGGGGUUCUCCCUGGAGGAGGCUAGUCCAGCACACUUCGGCUCCGCUGACCCCUGCGAUUUCCCGACAUGGCGGGGCCUUCGUCUGCGGUGGUGUUUGCGCUACCCGGCGGC